Long non-coding RNA from Solanum tuberosum (potato), 950 nucleotides. RefSeq lists it as uncharacterized. The transcript has 2 exons. The record is from RefSeq and is a predicted model, not a curated record. Lineage: Eukaryota; Viridiplantae; Streptophyta; Magnoliopsida; Solanales; Solanaceae.
GAAAGCAACUCAUGUGGCCCAUUAUUUCUUGUCAUCAUCUCAGUUGGUCCAUUGAUGUGAUAUAAACAAUUUAUCAUCCCUCCAAUUUUUCACCUUAUUUUUUCCUUCAACUUUUUUUGUGUAUCACUCAAUUACACUUACACAAAUUUGAUCAAAAUCUUGAUCUAUUUUUUUCCUCUAGCCAUGUCAAGUAGUGAUAUUAGGGGUAAAGAUUUGGCCGAGGGAUCGUCAAGAUCCCCCAGUCGUGAUCAACCACCUAGUCGAUACGAGUCUCAGAAACGUCGAGAUUGGAACACUUUCAACCACUACUUGAAGAAUCAAAGACCACCAAUCCCCCUUCCUCAUUGCCAUAGCAACCACAUCCUAGAGUUCCUCCGGUACCUUGACCAAUUUGGGAAAACAAAGGUUCACUUACUGGGUUGUAUGUUCUACGGUCAACCUGACCCACCAGCUCCCUGCACUUGUCCAUUGAGACAAGCCUGGGGAAGCCUGGAUGCACUCAUAGGCAGGCUUAGGGCUGCCUAUGAAGAGAACGGUGGGUCAAGUGAGACGAACCCAUUCGCGACCGUUGGGAUUCGAGUGUAUUUGAGGGAAGUGAAGGAAUGUCAAGCCAAGGCACGUGGCAUUGCUUAUAAGAAGAAACAAAAGAAGUUGGCUAAUAGUCCAAGUAAGGGAGAUCAUGAUGAUGCAAGUUCUCCAGGAUUCCUCACAUUUUCUUGAUUAUAAAAUGGAUUUUGCGUGGAUAAAAGGGAUUUGCUGCAAAGAGUGGAAGAAUUUUAUUGCCAAUUAAAGUAACCAUUAGCAGUAAUCAAAGGCAUUUAAUUCAAAUUUCUAUUACUUCAUCAUUAUAUAUAAUUUGGUUCUAUAGAGGCCUUAAGCAAAUUUUAAGUUUUUUUUGUGUAUUCUAAACUCUUUUAUACAAGUGAGUUUUUUUCUAUUUACCAGGCCAA